GGAGGUAGUGACGUGAAAUAACGAUGCGGGACUCUUCCGAGGCCUCGCAAUCGGAAUGAGUUAACUUUAAAUCCUUUCGACGAGGAUCGAUUGGAGGGCAAGUCUGGUGCCAGCAGCCGCGGUAAUUCCAGCUCCAAUAGCGUAUAUUAAAGUUGCUGCGGUUAAAAAGCUCGUAGUUGGAUCUCACGAUUCGAAAGACGGAGAGCGCCGUUGACGCAGUCGUGGUAGUAGUAGUACUACUACACCACGAAUCCACCUUCUCAUUCGUUUCGUUACGGUAGAAGGAGUAAUAAUAGUACGGGGAUGUCGAAUGCGCGAACAGGAUUUAUGAAGACGGUACGAGUUGAUUUUCUGACGGUGGUGGCGGAGGCGGUCGUCGUUGCUGCUGCUGCUGCUGUUGUUGCGGUGGUACGCUAGUGGCGAACGACCGUCGCCGCUACCGCUUCUACUACUUCGUUAAUCGUUGAUGUCCUCUUCGUUGCUUUGGCUAAUACCACUAUUCCUCUUCCUUCUUUCCAACGGACGAAAAAGAGAAGGCGAACGCCGAAGUGUCCCGGCGUAAAUAAACAACCGUCCUUUUCGAUGAAAAAUAUUGUUCGGCCGGCCAGCGGCGUAGUAGUAGCCUCACCGGAAAGGGUGGUAGAAGGUGGUAUCAUUAUGGCAAUAAUAAUACAUCUUCCACCUUCGAUGGCGGUGGUGACUCUCGCGCGCUCGCGUUCGGUCGGCAACUUCACUUUGACAAAAUUAGAGUGCUCAGAGCGGGCAAGAUCUGAAGCCCGAAUGGAGGUGCAUAGAAUGAUCUAAGAUGACCUCGCGAUCUAAACGUUUGUCGGUUUAUGGGGUCGCGAGGUAAUGAUUAAA
This 861-nucleotide ribosomal RNA is filed under the name Tylos punctatus. RNAcentral's name for it is "partial 18S small subunit ribosomal RNA". It matches the Rfam family "Eukaryotic small subunit ribosomal RNA", at positions 460 to 873 of the family's 1831-position model. Lineage: Eukaryota; Metazoa; Arthropoda; Malacostraca; Isopoda; Tylidae. The record is from RNAcentral.